CAAUAGCGUAUAUUAAAGUUGUUGCAGUUAAAAAGCUCGUAGUUGGAUUUGUGGCGUACGGUGUGUUCCGGGCACUUGUUGUCUGAGUAACCUGCUGUUGCCAUCCUUGGGUGGAACCUGUGUGGCAUUAGGUUGUCGUGCAGGGGAUGCCCAUCAUUUACUGUGAAAAAAUUAGAGUGUUCAAAGCAGGCUUAUGCCGUUGAAUAUAUUAGCAUGGAAUAAUGAGAUAGGACUUUUUUGCUAUUUUGUUGGUUUGCGCAAAGAGGUAAUGAUUAAUAGGGACAGUUGGGGGUAUUCGUAUUCCAUUGUCAGAGGUGAAAUUCUUGGAUUUUUGGAAGACGAACUACUGCGAAAGCAUUUACCAAGGAUGUUUNCAUUA
RNAcentral lists this ribosomal RNA (379 nucleotides) under uncultured eukaryote. Its description in RNAcentral is "partial 18S ribosomal RNA". It matches the Rfam family "Eukaryotic small subunit ribosomal RNA", at positions 592 to 975 of the family's 1831-position model. The record is from RNAcentral.